CUGGUUGAUCCUGCCGGCGGCCACCGCUAUUGGAAUUCGAUUAAGACAUGCGAGUCGAGAGUCGCAAGGACUCGGCGGACCGCUCAGUAACACGCGGAUAACAUGCCCUUGGGUGGGGGAUAACCUCGGGAAACUGAGAAUAAUACCCCAUAGAUCUAGAAAGCUGGAAUGCUUUUAGAUCGAAAACUCCGGUGCCCAAGGAUUGGUCUGCGGCGUAUCAGGUUGUAGUGGGUGUAACGGACCCCCUAGCCUAUGACGCGUAAGGGCCUUGAGAGAGGGAGCCCUGAGAUGGACUCUGAGACAUGAGUCCAGGCCCUACGGGGCGCAGCAGUCGCGAAAACUUCACAAUGGGGGAAACCCCGAUGAGGGAAUUCCAAGUGCCAGCACAUUGUGUUGGCUGUUCUCUGGUCUAAAAAACCGGAGAAGUAAGGGCCGGGUAAGACGGGUGCCAGCCGCCGCGGUAAUACCCGCGGCCCAAGUGGUGGUCGAUAUUAUUGAGCCUAAAACGUCCGUAGCCGGUCUUGUAAAUCCUUGGGUAAAUCGACCAGCUCAACUGUUCGAAGUCCGGGGAGACUGCAAGACUUGGGAUCGGGAGAGGUGAGAGGUACUUCUGGGGUAGGGGUAAAAUCCUGUAAUCCUAGAAGGACCACCGGUGGCGAAGGCGUCUCACUAGAACGAAUCCGACGGUGAGGGACGAAGCCCUGGGGCGCAAACGGGAUUAGAUACCCCGGUAGUCCAGGGUGUAAACGCUGCGGGCUUGGUGUUGGGGGUCCUUUGAGGGCGCCCAGUGCCGGAGAGAAGUUGUUAAGCCUGCUGCUUGGGGAGUACGUCCGCAAGGAUGAAACUUAAAGGAAUUGGCGGGGGAGCACCGCAACGGGAGGAGCGUGCGGUUCAAUUGGAUUCAACGCCGGGG
This 913-nucleotide ribosomal RNA is filed under the name uncultured archaeon. RNAcentral's name for it is "bacterial SSU rRNA". It matches the Rfam family "Archaeal small subunit ribosomal RNA", at positions 4 to 923 of the family's 1478-position model. The record is from RNAcentral.